RNAcentral lists this ribosomal RNA (252 nucleotides) under uncultured bacterium. RNAcentral's name for it is "partial 16S ribosomal RNA". It matches the Rfam family "Bacterial small subunit ribosomal RNA", at positions 524 to 776 of the family's 1533-position model. The record is from RNAcentral.
UACGAAGGGGGCUAGCGUUGCUCGGAAUCACUGGGCGUAAAGCGCACGUAGGCGGCUUCUUAAGUCAGGGGUGAAAUCCUGGAGCUCAACUCCAGAACUGCCUUUGAUACUGAGAGCUUGAGUUCGGGAGAGGUGAGUGGAACUGCGAGUGUAGAGGUGAAAUUCGUAGAUAUUCGCAAGAACACCAGUGGCGAAGGCGGCUCACUGGCCCGAUACUGACGCUGAGGUGCGAAAGCGUGGGGAGCAAACAGG